AUGCUCGGAAUCACUCGUACACACGGAUUCUGAGCGCGCCGUCCACACCACUUGACGACUGCUCGCCAGGUUUUGUUAGCC
This 81-nucleotide small RNA is filed under the name Xanthomonas sp. NCPPB 1560. RNAcentral describes it as "sX9 sRNA". It matches the Rfam family "Xanthomonas sRNA sX9". Lineage: Bacteria; Pseudomonadati; Pseudomonadota; Gammaproteobacteria; Lysobacterales; Lysobacteraceae. RNAcentral also lists the same sequence under 7 other names. The record is from RNAcentral.